RNAcentral lists this RNase P RNA (394 nucleotides) under Candidatus Cloacimonadota bacterium. RNAcentral describes it as "RNase P RNA component class A". It matches the Rfam family "Bacterial RNase P class A". From Rfam's summary of the family: Ribonuclease P (RNase P) is a ubiquitous endoribonuclease, found in archaea, bacteria and eukarya as well as chloroplasts and mitochondria. The record is from RNAcentral. Lineage: Bacteria; Pseudomonadati; Candidatus Cloacimonadota. RNAcentral also lists the same sequence under 1 other name.
AGAGAAGACUAAAUGUCUGCUCGCAAUGCGAGAGGAAAGUCCGAACACCACAGGGCAAGAUACUUCCUAACGGGAAGACACGGCAACGUGUAACCAGCUCCACAGAAACAAACCGCCCAAUGCAUGUCAUUAGGUAAGGGUGAAAUGGUAGUGUAAGAGACUACCAGUCAUAUCGGUAACGGUAUGAGCUCGGAAUGCUUUAUCUGGUGCAAUACCAAAUAGGGGUAAUUUUGUAGCAAUACAAGCGAAAUAGUCCGUUUUGUAUAUUACCCGGGUAGGUAGCUAAAGCCGUCUCAUAAUGAGCCUUAAGGAUAGCGAUAUACGGCUGAGAUGAAUAGACAUUGUUUUGCUUUUUACGCAAAAUACAGAAUUCGGCUUAUUGUCUUCUCUUUAU